GUGUCAGCAGCCGCGGUAAUACCGGCAGCCCGAGUGAUGGCCGAUCUUAUUGGGCCUAAAGCGUCCGUAGCUGGCCGCACAAGUCCAUCGGAAAAUCCACCCGCCCAACGGGUGGGCGUCCGGUGGAAACUGUGUGGCUUGGGACCGGAAGGCGCGACGGGUACGUCCGGGGUAGGAGUGAAAUCCUGUAAUCCCGGACGGACCGCCGAUGGCGAAAGCACGUCGCGAGGACGGAUCCGACAGUGAGGGACGAAAGCCAGGGUCUCGAACCGGAUUAGAAACCCGUGUAGUCC
Molecule: ribosomal RNA, 293 nt
Filed under: uncultured prokaryote
Description: partial 16S ribosomal RNA
Rfam family: Archaeal small subunit ribosomal RNA
Source: RNAcentral